This 393-nucleotide ribosomal RNA is filed under the name uncultured bacterium. RNAcentral's name for it is "partial 16S ribosomal RNA". It matches the Rfam family "Bacterial small subunit ribosomal RNA", at positions 523 to 918 of the family's 1533-position model. The record is from RNAcentral.
AUACGGAAGGUCCGGGCGCUAUCCGGAUUUAUUGGGUUUAAAGGGAGCGCAGGCGGAGAUGCAAGCGUGACGUCAAAUUUCAGGGCUCAACCCCGUCCCGCUCCGCGAACUGCGUCCCUUGGUUGCGGGAAGGGGAGGCGGAACUCGUGGUGUAGCGGGGAAAUGCGUAGAUAUCACGAAGAACUCCGAUCGCGAAGGCAGCCUUCCGGCCCGUCAACGACGCUCAUGCUCGAAGGUGCGGGUAUCAAACAGGAUUAGAUACCCUGGUAGUCCGCACAGUAAACGAUGGACACCCGCGGUUUGGCCUAUAUGGCUGAGCCGCCAAGCGAAAGCGUUAAGUGUCCCACCUGGGGAGUACGCCGGCAACGGUGAAACUCAAAUGAAUUGACGGGG